AGUGAUGUAGCUCAGUGGUGGAGUCCUUGCUGAGCAUGCAAGAGGCCCUGGGUUCAAUCCCUAGUACUACAA
RNAcentral lists this transfer RNA (72 nucleotides) under Fukomys damarensis (Damara mole-rat). It matches the Rfam family "tRNA". Rfam says of the family: Transfer RNA (tRNA) molecules are approximately 80 nucleotides in length. Lineage: Eukaryota; Metazoa; Chordata; Mammalia; Rodentia; Bathyergidae. The record is from Rfam by way of RNAcentral.